This is a long non-coding RNA of Zingiber officinale, 2210 nucleotides long. RefSeq lists it as uncharacterized. The transcript is spliced from 4 exons. The record is from RefSeq and is a predicted model, not a curated record. NCBI's taxonomy places the organism in Eukaryota, Viridiplantae, Streptophyta, Magnoliopsida, Zingiberales, Zingiberaceae.
CUUUCGCUACAGCCUGCUCGCAGAUGUGGGACUAAAAAAUGCCUUCCGCCAUCGCCAGCCGUCCCAUCUCUGUAUUCAACCGCCAAGAUUCCUCCUUCCUCGAUGCUUCUGCGGCGAUGGCGAUGCGACGGCGAAGCGCUCGAGCGAUUUUCCGACCAAAAGAUGUCUAUGGAAAAGCCUCCAAGAAAACCUACUACUGAUUACUAUCUUAAUCAGGUGCUACCAAUACCCUUGCAGAGACGUGCAAUCAUCCGUGUUUAGCACAUUCUCACUAUGUGAUCCUUGUGUGCAAUGCUACAACAAUGAAGCAAUGGGAUCAGUUUGGUGGAUCUUAUGCCAUCAUAAAUUUUUCUUUGUUUGGAUUAAAUUCCAUUCAAAGCACAAGGUACGAUGCAAUUACAUGCCCCAAUAAAUGCUGCCAGAGAAGCAGUUAGUACAGUGUUGUUUUGAUACAAAUGAAGUUAGCAUAUCUCUCAUGUUAGCGUGCUCUUGUUCAACUUCCACCUCCAUCAUCUUUCCUUAUCUCGUGUGAAUUCCACAUUCUACCUCAAAUUGCUCAUUGAAUCUCUCAAUAGUCUGAUAACAGUGGAAACAAAUAGUGUGGAGUUACUCAAAGAGCCUAGGCACAUUUUCCUCUGCAAUUGCAUGAAGUAGUCUUAUAUCAGAAAUAAGAAGAUUAAAAUAGCAACACUUUUUUAUUGCCUUGUUAUUUAACUUGAUGUAGAGCUUAGAUAGUUAUCUGAAAAAGUCACGAUAUGAAACACAUCAUUUAAAAUGUGUGGAAAUAUACACCAUUUGCACACUUAAUUGGACAAAUUGCAAAAAUCCUUGAAUUUCCAUAAAUUUAGACGCAAAACCUAUACCAAGGAUUGCUUUCUUGUAUGAAACAGGGGAAAGUCUAGUUCAAGAAUGAAUGCUUCUAAAAUAAAAAAGUAAACUUCUGUUCUAUUGUCAUGUCUUGUGUAGUUAAUCACAGAAUCUUGACUGUCAAAAUUAAAAAAAAAAAUCUUAGUGUCAAAGUAUUGGGGGAAUUCUUGCCAUAUGUUUUCAAGUGGCCCAUAAUAUAGUUUCUGUAUGGAAGUAAAUCAAAAUAAGGUUAUUGGGAAAUAGUGGAACAUAAAAAUGGUUUAAAUGUAACUGAACUGAGGAUGAACAAUGAAUGCUUGUUUUUUAACUAACGACUACCUUAAGAUUUACAUCUUCAAGCACUAAACUAAAUUUAAAGUGUCUUUUAUUAUGUGUAUGUCGUCUCAUGGAUACCCUUAUAUUAUUCGCGAUGGUUUGUAUUGUCCUUGGCCUAAAAACAAGGGCAACGCCAAAAAUAAAGCUGAACUGCAGUUCCAAUAUUUUAUCACACAAUUAGUUAUUAUCAAUGCAAGAAAUGCCAUAUCAUAUUUUAUUUUACUUGAAAUGAAUAGUUUGUUGAUUACAUAUGCAAAGAUACUUAAAGCUUAAAAUGCAGAUUAAUCAAAUGGGGAUCUCCUUUGUCCUUCUCAUAAUGAUUUUUGAACUUUUAAGUUUUAUAUUGUUUACCAAAAUGCCUUAAGUCAUGCAGCCUCUGUGUUGUGAAGCCAGAAUUCUCCCUGUGAUCCUUGUUUGGUUCAUUGCUGCAUACAUUGGUGUGCCAUCUGCCAGGAACACCGCAAAGUGACAGUUUGGUUGUCCGACGAUCUUGCUAUGCCAAUGACUGUAAUCAACCCACCACUCUUGCAGGAAAUGAGUUAUUUUGCAGUCUCUCAGAUCAACUCCUUGCAGAGCCAGGAUGCUGAAUUGGAGAUUACAAGCGUCAUAGCUUGGUUGAAUGCUUGCAUUUAAGAAUCCUGUACUCGUCAUAGUUUGGUUGAAUGCUUGCAUAUAAUCGAUGUGACUCUCUAAACAUUGCCUUGACUUGGUAAAAGAGUAUGAAUGUUCCAUGUUGCAAUCGUAAAACACAUGCCAUUGAUGAAAAGGAAACAUAAAACUACUUGUUUCUUUAUUUUCUUGCCAUUUCAUGUUUGCAUGGAUUAUUAUUUUCUUCUGAAGCAGUGUAAUCCAUUUAACAUUUUACAACCUGUGCUUGCCUUCAACAUUUAUUCUCUUGGAACUGCUACAGGAAACAAAUUAACAUCUUCACACUGGAUCCCCAUCAAGAGUGCCAAAAUAAGAGAAGGAACUUAAAAGCACAGGAAAUCGAGCAAAAGACGCAGCUAGCGAGAAGGACGACACGGAAG